This is a long non-coding RNA of Rhododendron vialii, 601 nucleotides long. RefSeq lists it as uncharacterized. NCBI's taxonomy places the organism in Eukaryota, Viridiplantae, Streptophyta, Magnoliopsida, Ericales, Ericaceae. The record is from RefSeq and is a predicted model, not a curated record. The transcript is spliced from 3 exons.
GAGACCCAUAAUUAUUUUCUCAAAUUUUAAAUGUUUAAUAUGUAUUUGGAUUAUCGAAGUAUGGAUAAUGCAGAAGAUAUGAGUUGGGUCAAUGUGAGAUGACUUGUAAGUUGUGGGAGUUGACGUGAUACAAUAGGAGUGAAAGGGUGAAAGUGUUAUUUGUGCUAUAUAAGUCAAAAAAAAAAGAAGGGAGCAGGAGAUUUUUUCUCUCUUUUCCUUUCCUUUCUUUUCUUCUUGUCCGGCAUCUCUCUCUCUCGGCUCUCACCUCUCUCACCUUCUCUCUUCGAUUUCAUCUUCUACUAGUGGGAUUUUUGAAAAAAUCCCAAGUACUAAAGUUGUUCUUUGCGACGAGAGCUUUCUACCCAUCCAAGAAAAUUCACGAUCGGAGCACUUCGAAGUUUCCUCCAUGUUCGGGCUUGCUUCUAACCUUCGAGGAAGUUCGAGUCGUCACGUGGAUCGAGGAAGCGACGCGUAGUGUGGCAGAGUGUUUACUUUAGUUUGUAAAUUUGUAGGUAAGCACAGCUCUGAGAGGUUUAUCCUUUUGGUUUGUAAACCUAUGUAAGACUUUGGUUUGUUAUCAAUAAAAGUUAACUUUUGCUUC